GGGGAGUUAGCUCAGCUGGAAGAGCAUCACGUUGACAUCGUGGAGGUCGCUGGUUCAAGUCCAGUACUUCCCACCA
Molecule: transfer RNA, 76 nt
Filed under: Anaerococcus lactolyticus ATCC 51172
Lineage: Bacteria; Bacillati; Bacillota; Tissierellia; Tissierellales; Peptoniphilaceae
Also listed under: 1 other name
Description: tRNA-Val
Rfam family: tRNA
About the family: Transfer RNA (tRNA) molecules are approximately 80 nucleotides in length. Their secondary structure includes four short double-helical elements and three loops (D, anti-codon, and T loops).
Source: RNAcentral